GUCGUCGUGGCCGAGUGUUUAAGGCGAUGGACUAGAAAUCCAUUGGGGUCCUCCCGCAUAGGUUCGAAUCCUAUCGACGACG
This 82-nucleotide transfer RNA is filed under the name Octopus vulgaris (common octopus). It matches the Rfam family "tRNA". From Rfam's summary of the family: Transfer RNA (tRNA) molecules are approximately 80 nucleotides in length. Their secondary structure includes four short double-helical elements and three loops (D, anti-codon, and T loops). Further hydrogen bonds mediate the characteristic L-shaped molecular structure. tRNAs have two regions of fundamental functional importance: the anti-codon, which is responsible for specific mRNA codon recognition, and the 3' end, to which the tRNAs corresponding amino acid is attached (by aminoacyl-tRNA synthetases). tRNAs cope with the degeneracy of the genetic code in two manners: having more than one tRNA (with a specific anti-codon) for a particular amino acid; and 'wobble' base-pairing, i.e. permitting non-standard base-pairing at the 3rd anti-codon position. RNAcentral also lists the same sequence under 1 other name. The record is from Rfam by way of RNAcentral. Lineage: Eukaryota; Metazoa; Mollusca; Cephalopoda; Octopoda; Octopodidae.